ACUCAAAUGAAUUGACGGGGGCCCGCACAAGCGGCGGAGCAUGUUGCUUAAUUCGACGCAACGCGAAGAACCUUACCAAGGUUUGACAUCACCGGAAAACUCGCAGAGAUGCGGGGUCCUUUUGGGCCGGUGACAGGUGGUGCAUGGCUGUCGUCAGCUCGUGUCGUGAGAUGUUGGGUUAAGUCCCGCAACGAGCGCAACCCUCGUUCCAUGUUGCCAGCACGUAAUGGUGGGGACUCAUGGGAGACUGCCGGGGUCAACUCGGAGGAAGGUGGGGAUGACGUCAAGUCAUCAUGCCCCUUAUGUCUUGGGCUGCAAACAUGCUACAAUGGCCGGUACAAAGGGCUGCGAAACCGUGAGGUGGAGCGAAUCCCGGAAAGCCGGUCUCAGUUCGGAUUGGGGUCUGCAACUCGACCCCAUGAAGUCGGAGUCGCUAGUAAUCGCAGAUCAGCAACGCUGCGGUGAAUACGUUCCCGGGCCUUGUACACACCGCCCGU
Molecule: ribosomal RNA, 497 nt
Filed under: uncultured bacterium
Lineage: Bacteria
Description: partial 16S ribosomal RNA
Rfam family: Bacterial small subunit ribosomal RNA
Source: RNAcentral